GUAAAUAUAGUUUAAUAUAAAACACUAAAUUGUGGGUUUAGAGUUAGGGGCCUAAGCCCCCUUAUCUACC
RNAcentral lists this transfer RNA (70 nucleotides) under Gekko subpalmatus. RNAcentral's name for it is "tRNA-His". It matches the Rfam family "tRNA". Rfam says of the family: Transfer RNA (tRNA) molecules are approximately 80 nucleotides in length. Their secondary structure includes four short double-helical elements and three loops (D, anti-codon, and T loops). The record is from RNAcentral. Lineage: Eukaryota; Metazoa; Chordata; Lepidosauria; Squamata; Gekkonidae.